Molecule: ribosomal RNA, 424 nt
Filed under: uncultured bacterium
Lineage: Bacteria
Description: bacterial SSU rRNA
Rfam family: Bacterial small subunit ribosomal RNA
Source: RNAcentral
GACGAACGCUGGCGGUGUGCUUAACACAUGCAAGUGGUGCGACGAACCAGGCUUCGGCCUGGGGCAAAGCCGCGAACGGGUGAGUAACACGUGGGUAAUCUGCCCCGAUGACCGGGACAACCCGAGGAAACUCGGGCUAAUACCGGGAUGUGGUGCCCAGACAUAAGUCUGGUCACUAAAGGUAGCUUCGGCUUCCGCAUUGGGAGGGGCCCGCGGCCCAUUAGCUUGUUGGUGGGGUCAAGGCCUACCAAGGCAACGAUGGGUAGCUGGUCUGAGAGGACGAUCAGCCACACUGGGACUGAGACACGGCCCAGACUCCUACGGGAGGCAGCAGUGGGGAAGUCUUGCGCAAUGACGAAAGUCUGACGCAGCGACACCGCGUGGAGGAUUGAAGGCCCUAGGGUCGUAAACUCCUUUUAUCAGG